This 643-nucleotide ribosomal RNA is filed under the name uncultured bacterium. RNAcentral describes it as "bacterial SSU rRNA". It matches the Rfam family "Bacterial small subunit ribosomal RNA", at positions 232 to 885 of the family's 1533-position model. The record is from RNAcentral.
CGCGGCCUAUCAGCUUGUUGGUGGGGUAAUGGCCUACCAAGGCGACGACGGGUAGCCGGCCUGAGAGGGCGACCGGCCACACUGGGACUGAGACACGGCCCAGACUCCUACGGGAGGCAGCAGUGGGGAAUAUUGCGCAAUGGGCGAAAGCCUGACGCAGCGACGCCGCGUGAGGGAUGAAGGCCUUCGGGUCGUAAACCUCUUUCAGCAGGGAAGAAGCGAAAGUGACGGUACCUGCAGAAGAAGCACCGGCUAACUACGUGCCAGCAGUCGCGGUAAUACGUAGGGUGCAAGCGUUGUCCGGAAUUAUUGGGCGUAAAGAGCUCGUAGGCGGUCUGUCGCGUCUGCUGUGAAAACUCAGGGCUUAACCCUGAGCUUGCAGUGGGUACGGGCAGACUAGAGUGCGGUAGGGGAGACUGGAAUUCCUGGUGUAGCGGUGAAAUGCGCAGAUAUCAGGAGGAACACCGGUGGCGAAGGCGGGUCUCUGGGCCGUAACUGACGCUGAGGAGCGAAAGCAUGGGGAGCGAACAGGAUUAGAUACCCUGGUAGUCCAUGCCGUAAACGUUGGGCGCUAGGUGUGGGGCUCUUUCCAUGAGUUCCGUGCCGCAGCUAACGCAUUAAGCGCCCCGCCUGGGGAGUACGG